RNAcentral lists this ribosomal RNA (400 nucleotides) under uncultured soil bacterium. RNAcentral's name for it is "bacterial SSU rRNA". It matches the Rfam family "Bacterial small subunit ribosomal RNA", at positions 26 to 402 of the family's 1533-position model. The record is from RNAcentral.
AGGACGAACGCUGGCGGCGUGCUUAACACAUGCAAGUCGAGCGGAAAGGCCAUUUCGGUGGUACUCGAGCGGCGAACGGGUGAGUAACACGUGAGUAAUCUGCCCCUGGCUUUGGGAUAGCCACCGGAAACGGUGAUUAAUACCGGAUACGACCCGCCCUCGCAUGGGGGUGUGUGGAAAGUUUUUUGGCCAGGGAUGUGCUCGCGGCCUAUCAGCUUGAUGGUGGGGUAAUGGCUCACCAUGGCUUCGGACGGGUAGCCGGCCUGAGAGGGUGACCGGUCACGACUGGGACUGAGACACGGCCCAGACCUCCGUACGGGAGGCAGCGAGGUGGGGAAUAGUUGGACAAGUGGGACGGUAAGCCCUAGACUCCGAGGACCGAACCGGCCGGACGUCGGGA